RNAcentral lists this ribosomal RNA (497 nucleotides) under uncultured bacterium. RNAcentral's name for it is "partial 16S ribosomal RNA". It matches the Rfam family "Bacterial small subunit ribosomal RNA", at positions 28 to 507 of the family's 1533-position model. The record is from RNAcentral.
GAUGAACGCUGGCGGCGUGCCUAAUACAUGCAAGUCGAGCGAACAGACGAGGAGCUUGCUCCUCUGACGUUAGCGGCGGACGGGUGAGUAACACGUGGAUAACCCACCUAUAAGACUGGGAUAACUUCGGGAAACCGGAGCUAAUACCGGAUAAUAUAUUGAACCGCAUGGUUCAAUAGUGAAAGACGGUUUUGCUGUCACUUAUAGAUGGAUCCGCGCCGCAUUAGCUAGUUGGUAAGGUAACGGCUUACCAAGGCAACGAUGCGUAGCCGACCUGAGAGGGUGAUCGGCCACACUGGAACUGAGACACGGUCCAGACUCCUACGGGAGGCAGCAGUAGGGAAUCUGCCGCAAUGGGCGAAAGCCUGACGGAGCAACGCCGCGUGAGUGAUGAAGGUCUUCGGAUCGUAAAACUCUGUUAUUAGGGAAGAACAAAUGUGUAAGUAACUAUGCACGUCUUGACGGUACCUAAUCAGAAAGCCACGGCUAACUACGUG